UAUUGGUCAAUGGUCGGGAGACUGAACCAGCCAAGCCGCGUGAGGGAGGAAUGUCCUAUGGAUUGUAAACCUCUUUUGUCAGGGAGCAAAGUCACCCACGUGUGGGUGUUGGAGAGUACCUGAAGAAAAAGCAUCGGCUAACUCCGUGCCAGCAGCCGCGGUAAUACGGAGGAUGCGAGCGUUAUCCGGAUUUAUUGGGUUUAAAGGGUGCGUAGGCGGGUUAUCAAGUCAGCGGUAAAAUCGUGGAGCUCAACUCCAUCCAGCCGUUGAAACUGAUGAUCUUGAGUGGGCGAGAAGUAUGCGGAAUGCGUGGUGUGGCGGUGAAAUGCAUAGAUAUCACGCAGAACUCCGAUUGCGAAGGCAGCAUACCGGCGCCCGACUGACGCUGAAGCACGAAAGCAUGGGUAUCGAACAGG
This 416-nucleotide ribosomal RNA is filed under the name uncultured bacterium. Its description in RNAcentral is "bacterial SSU rRNA". It matches the Rfam family "Bacterial small subunit ribosomal RNA", at positions 362 to 776 of the family's 1533-position model. The record is from RNAcentral.